UACGUAGGGGGCGAGCGUUAUCCGGAAUUAUUGGGCGUAAAGAGUACGUAGGUGGUUUUGUAAGCGUGGGGUGAAAGACCGAAGCUUAACUUCGGUUAGCCUUGCGAACUGCAGGACUUGAGUGCAGGAGAGGAAAGUGGAAUUCCUAGUGUAGCGGUGAAAUGCGUAGAUAUUAGGAGGAACACCAGUGGCGAAGGCGACUUUCUGGACUGUAACUGACACUGAGGUACGAAAGCGUGGGUAGCAAACAGGAUUAGAUACCCGCGUAGUCCCUGAGCGGGCU
This 283-nucleotide ribosomal RNA is filed under the name uncultured prokaryote. Its description in RNAcentral is "partial 16S ribosomal RNA". It matches the Rfam family "Bacterial small subunit ribosomal RNA", at positions 524 to 817 of the family's 1533-position model. The record is from RNAcentral.